UGGACCAGGGAUGAAGACUGGUGGCAUCAUGAGUCACAGGAGGAGUGUCCCAUGUCUGAAACUCUCAUGUCCAA
Molecule: small nucleolar RNA, 74 nt
Filed under: Sciurus vulgaris (Eurasian red squirrel)
Lineage: Eukaryota; Metazoa; Chordata; Mammalia; Rodentia; Sciuridae
Description: Small nucleolar RNA SNORD113/SNORD114 family (ENSSVLG00005000062.1)
Rfam family: Small nucleolar RNA SNORD113/SNORD114 family
About the family: The imprinted human domain at 14q32 contains two clusters of tandemly repeated small nucleolar RNAs named 14q(I) and 14q(II) snoRNAs. These two clusters are named SNORD113 and SNORD114 respectively in the HGNC approved gene symbol nomenclature. The snoRNAs found in both clusters are clearly related and are represented here by a single family.
Source: Rfam by way of RNAcentral